RNAcentral lists this ribosomal RNA (423 nucleotides) under uncultured Glomeromycotina. RNAcentral describes it as "SSU rRNA". It matches the Rfam family "Eukaryotic small subunit ribosomal RNA", at positions 671 to 1092 of the family's 1831-position model. The record is from RNAcentral. Lineage: Eukaryota; Fungi; Glomeromycota.
CUGGUAUGACUGGUUUCGCUGAUUCCUCCUUUCUGAAGAACUGUAAUGUCAUUAAUUUGGUGUUGCAGGGAAACAGGACUGUUACUUUGAAAAAAUUAGAGUGUUUAAAGCAGGCUAACGCUUGAAUACAUUAGCAUGGAAUAAUGAAAUAGGACGUUCAAACCUAUUUUGUUGGUUUCUAGGAUUGACGUAAUGAUUAAUAGGGAUAGUUGGGGGCAUUAGUAUUCAAUUGUCAGAGGUGAAAUUCUUGGAUUUAUUGAAGACUAACUACUGCGAAAGCAUUUGCCAAGGAUGUUUUCAUUAAUCAAGAACGGAAGUUAGGGGAUCGAAGACGAUCAGACACCGUCGUAGUCUUAACCAUAAACUAUGCCGACUAGGGAUCGGAUGAUGUUAAUUUUUUAAUGACUCAUUCGGCGCCUUACG